Molecule: unclassified non-coding RNA, 391 nt
Filed under: soil metagenome
Description: partial contains 5.8S ribosomal RNA, internal transcribed spacer 2, and large subunit ribosomal RNA
Rfam family: 5.8S ribosomal RNA (bases 1-122)
Source: RNAcentral
GAUGAAGAACGCAGCGAAAUGCGAUACUUGGUGUGAAUUGCUGAAUCCCGUGAACCAUCGAGUCUUUGAACGCAAGUUGCGCCCGAAGCCAUUAGGCCGAGGGCACGCCUGCCUGGGCGUCACACGUCGUUGCCCCCCCAUCUACUCCUUCGGGAUUGCGGGGGGCGGAUGAUGGCCUCUCGUGCGCCUCGUCGCGCGGUUGGCCUAAAUGCCAAGUCCUCGGCGACGCACGCCACGACAAUCGGUGGUUGCGAAACCUCGGUUGCCUGUCGUGUGCGGUCGUCGCGCAUCGAGGGCUCGAAAAAAUUGCCGGGCUUCGGCUCGACUUUCAACGCGACCCCAGGUCAGGCGGGGUUACCCGCUGAAUUUAAGCAUAUCAAUAAGCGGAGGA